CAAGUCGAACGAAUCCCAUCUGGGUAACUGGGUGGGGGAAGUGGCGAAAGGGGCAGUAAGGCAUGGGUAACCCACCCCGGGGACGGGCAUAGCCUCUCUAACGAGAGGGUAAUUCCCGGCGAUCCAUCUGAACGGCAUCGUUUGGGUGGGAAAUGAGUUUCGCCUCGGGAGGGGCCCAUGUGGUAUUAGCUAGUUGGUGAGGUAACGGCCCACCAAGGCCAAGAUGCCUAGCGGGUGUGAGAGCACGACCCGCGCCACUGGCACUGAGACACUGGCCAGACUCCUACGGGAGGCUGCAGUCGAGGAUCUUCGGCAAUGGGCGCAAGCCUGACCGAGCGACGCCGCGUGCGCGAUGAAGGCCUUCGGGUUGUAAAGCGCUGUCGAGGGGAAGAAAGGCCCGCAAGGGUUUGAUCGACCCCUGGAGGAAGCACGGGCUAAGUUCGUGCCAGCAGCCGCGGUAAGACGAACCGUGCGAACGUUGUUCGGAAUCACUGGGCUUAAAGGGCGCGUAGGCGGGCCAUCAAGUCAGGGGUGAAAUCCUCCCGCUCAACGGGAGAACAGCUUUUGAUACUGGUGGCCUCGAGGGGGGUAGGGGCAUGUGGAACUUCCGGUGGAGCGGUGAAAUGCGUAGAUAUCGGAAGGAACGCCGGUGGCGAAAGCGACGUGCUGGACCCUUUCUGACGCUGAGGCGCGAAAGCCAGGGGAGCAAACGGGAUUAGAUACCCCGGUAGUCCUGGCCCUAAACGAUGGGCACUAGGUUGUGGGCUGACAUGGGCUCACAGCCNAAGCAAAAGUGUUAAGUGCCCCGCCUGGGGAGUAUGGUCGCAAGGCUGAAACUCAAAGGAAUUGACGGGGGCUCACACAAGCGGUGGAGCAUGUGGCUUAAUUCGAGGCUACCCGA
Molecule: ribosomal RNA, 901 nt
Filed under: uncultured Planctomycetota bacterium
Lineage: Bacteria; Pseudomonadati; Planctomycetota
Description: bacterial SSU rRNA
Rfam family: Bacterial small subunit ribosomal RNA
Source: RNAcentral